UACGUAGGGUGCGAGCGUUGUCCGGAAUUAUUGGGCGUAAAGGGCUCGUAGGCGGUCUGUUGCGUCGGGAGUGAAAACUCAGGGCUUAACCCUGAGCCUGCUUCCGAUACGGGCAGACUAGAGGUAUGCAGGGGAGAACGGAAUUCCUGGUGUAGCGGUGAAAUACGCAGAUAUCAGGAGGAACACCGGUGGCGAAGGCGGUUCUCUGGGCAUUACCUGACGCUGAGGAGCGAAAGUGUGGGGAGCGAACAGG
RNAcentral lists this ribosomal RNA (253 nucleotides) under uncultured bacterium. RNAcentral describes it as "partial 16S ribosomal RNA". It matches the Rfam family "Bacterial small subunit ribosomal RNA", at positions 524 to 776 of the family's 1533-position model. The record is from RNAcentral.